GAUGAACGCUGGCGGCGUGCCUAAUACAUGCAAGUCGAGCGAACAGACGAGGAGCUUGCUCCUCUGACGUUAGCGGCGGACGGGUGAGUAACACGUGGAUAACCUACCUAUAAGACUGGGAUAACUUCGGGAAACCGGAGCUAAUACCGGAUAAUAUAUUGAACCGCAUGGUUCAAUAGUGAAAGACGGUUUUGCUGUCACUUAUAGAUGGAUCCGCGCCGCAUUAGCUAGUUGGUAAGGUAACGGCUUACCAAGGCAACGAUGCGUAGCCGACCUGAGAGGCGGGGCCCCCACGCGAGAAUAGACACCCGGCCCGGCCCCCGAGGGGGGGCACCAGGAGGGAAUCUCCCGAAAGGGGCGAAACCCGGCAGGACCAACCCGGGGUGAUGAAUAAAGGUUUUGGAAACAAAAAACCUUUUUAUGGGGGAGAAAAAAUUGUGAAAGAAACUAUGCACUUUUGGACGUUCCCUAAGAAGAAAGCCACGCAAAACUACGUG
This 497-nucleotide ribosomal RNA is filed under the name uncultured bacterium. RNAcentral describes it as "partial 16S ribosomal RNA". It matches the Rfam family "Bacterial small subunit ribosomal RNA", at positions 28 to 507 of the family's 1533-position model. The record is from RNAcentral.